AUACCUUUAAUUGUUGCUUCGGCGGGACUUCGCGCCCGCCGGGGACCCAAACCUUCUGAAUUUUUUAAUAAGUAUCUUCUGAGUGGUUAAAAAAAAUGAAUCAAAACUUUCAACAACGGAUCUCUUGGUUCUGGCAUCGAUGAAGAACGCAGCGAAAUGCGAUAAGUAAUGUGAAUUGCAGAAUUCAGUGAAUCAUCGAAUCUUUGAACGCACAUUGCGCCCGUCAGUAUUCUGGCGGGCAUGCCUGUUCGAGCGUCAUUACGCCCCUCAAGUCCCCUGUGGACUUGGUGUUGGGGAUCGGCGAGGCUGGUUUUCCAGCACAGCCGUCCCUCAAAUCAAUUGGCGGUCUCGCCGUGGCCCUCCUCUGCGCAGUAGUAAAACACUCGCAACAGGAGCCCGGCGCGGUCCACUGCCGUAAAA
RNAcentral lists this ribosomal RNA (420 nucleotides) under Metarhizium anisopliae. RNAcentral's name for it is "eukaryotic LSU rRNA". The stretch from base 105 to 258 matches the Rfam family "5.8S ribosomal RNA". The record is from RNAcentral. Lineage: Eukaryota; Fungi; Ascomycota; Sordariomycetes; Hypocreales; Clavicipitaceae.